RNAcentral lists this ribosomal RNA (422 nucleotides) under uncultured euryarchaeote. RNAcentral's name for it is "bacterial SSU rRNA". It matches the Rfam family "Archaeal small subunit ribosomal RNA", at positions 322 to 747 of the family's 1478-position model. Lineage: Archaea; Methanobacteriati; Methanobacteriota. The record is from RNAcentral.
CCUACGGGGGGCAGCAGGCGCGAAAACUUUACAAUGCACGAAAGUGUGAUAGGGGAACUCAGCGUGCUCAUGGAAACCAUGGGCUUUUCUACAGGGUAAAUACCUGUGGGAAUAAAGGAUGGGCAAGACCGGUGCCAGCAGCCGCGGUAACACCGGCGUCCUUAGUGGGAAUCACUUAUUAGGUCUAAAGCGCUCGUAGUCGGCUUUGUAAAUUUCUUGUGAAAUCGUGUCGCUUAACGGCACGGCGUGCAGGAAACACUGCAGAGCUUGGGACCGGGAGGCGUCAGAAGUAUUCCUUAGGGAGCGGUAAAAUGUGAUAAUCUAAGGAGGACUACCUGUGGCGAAGGCGUCUGACGAGAACGGGUUCGACGAUCAGGAGCGAAGGCUAGGGGAGCAAACCGGAUUAGAUACCCCAGUAGUCC